RNAcentral lists this ribosomal RNA (469 nucleotides) under uncultured prokaryote. Its description in RNAcentral is "partial 16S ribosomal RNA". The record is from RNAcentral.
CCCUAUGGGGUGCAGCAGGCGACGGAUGAAGGGCAUGUGUGUGUCCCGAGGCACUGGCUCAUGGAAAAGUCUUGUGAGCUCUUGCAGAUCGGGCCGGCGAUUCUUACUGAAGCACUCCAUCGUCUGGCUUCAGACUGCCGGCUGGUGCAGGAAGUGGUCCCGGUGGGUCUCAAGUCCGGGUUUGAGGAUGGCACGGCCGUUUACCUGAGGGGAUAUCAUAUCGCCGAGUCCCAGAUUGCUCAACGUUUGCUCUACCUGAAGGCCUUCAACCCGCUCCAGCGAAAAAUCGACCGCGAUGCAUCCCUCCAGUGGCUCCGCGAGAAGCUGCCCGUCAAGCUGGCUCCCCUCCAGGAGGUGGCUGUGCGGCAGUCUCUGUCGGACAGGGUGGUUGUCAUUACAGGAGGACCCGGUACGGGGAAAACGACGCUCAUUUUGGCGAUCCUCUCCAUCUACAGAAAGCUGGGAGAGC